AGUGAACGCUGGCGGCAGGCCUAACACAUGCAAGUCGAACGACCCUUCUGAGCUACGUGGCUGUCCUGGGAGGCACCCGUGGGACCGUCCCUUAAGGUCCGGAAUAACACAUCGAAACUUGUGCUAACACCGAGUGUACGCAUCGAGUGCAAGAUUAAUCCCCUGUCUAGAGGCCGGCGUAAUAUUAGCUAGUUGGGAGAGGUAACGGCUCACCAAGGCGACGUUCAGUAGCUGGUCUGAGCGGAUGAUCAGCCACAUUGGUACUUAUACACGGCCCAAACUCCUAAAGGAAGCAGCAAUAGGGAAUCUUGCGCAAUGGAAGAAAGCCUGACGCAGCCAUGCCGCGUAAAUAAUGAAGGUCUUAGGAUUGUAAAAUUCUUUCACCGGGGACGAUGAUGACGGUACCCGGAGAAGAAGCUCCGGCUAACUUCGUG
RNAcentral lists this ribosomal RNA (434 nucleotides) under uncultured bacterium. RNAcentral describes it as "partial 16S ribosomal RNA". It matches the Rfam family "Bacterial small subunit ribosomal RNA", at positions 29 to 507 of the family's 1533-position model. The record is from RNAcentral.